GCGUCCAUAGCUCAGCUGGAUAGAGUGUCUGACUACGAAUCAGAAGGUCGGGAGUUCGAAUCUCUCUGGGCGCACCA
This 77-nucleotide transfer RNA is filed under the name Bacillota bacterium. Its description in RNAcentral is "tRNA-Arg". It matches the Rfam family "tRNA". From Rfam's summary of the family: Transfer RNA (tRNA) molecules are approximately 80 nucleotides in length. Their secondary structure includes four short double-helical elements and three loops (D, anti-codon, and T loops). Lineage: Bacteria; Bacillati; Bacillota. The record is from RNAcentral. RNAcentral also lists the same sequence under 2 other names.